This 871-nucleotide long non-coding RNA is filed under the name Phasianus colchicus (ring-necked pheasant). Its description in RNAcentral is "lncRNA (ENSPCLG00000004233.1)". The record is from RNAcentral. Lineage: Eukaryota; Metazoa; Chordata; Aves; Galliformes; Phasianidae.
AUGGGGAGGCUGAUUUUUGACAGGUCAAGGAGGGGGAAAUACGUAGGAGUCUUCUACUUGAAUGAAUUUUUGGGAAGAAAACACAGUAUGUAUGAAGCUGAAAUCAUGAUGGAACCAAAAUGGAAUAUUUAUAUGCUUUUUUUCUUUUCUUUAAACCAGCAUAGAACACAUGGCUUCACCAAAACCAGUGUCUUGCAUUUCUUCAUCGCGGAACUGACUUCAGAGGAAAGCAGUUCAGAUCCUUGUCUCCAGUCUGGAGCUGUCCUCUGGCCAGGCUCCUUGCAGGAUGACAUCUCUCAGCAAGACUUCUCCCUACAAAGAUAUGAUUCUAACAAUUUCGACCAGACUGUCUUGGGGCCCUACCUCUCAGGAACUGAGUGCUGGAAAACUUCCACUGGAAAAAAAAAAAAAACAAAAAACAAAAAAACACACACUCUUUUAAAAGAGAGGAUAUCAGAAGUAUACAUCUUUUAUCCAUGCCCCACACACUUGCAUGUGAAGAGAGAGCACCAGCUGUUUUUCUCAUGGUGAAUAAGGGUUACUUGGGGAAAUCUGACUUCCUGUUUUUACAUGGACAGCUACAUUGUUGCAAAGCCAGUUCAUUUUGGUUAGGUCAAUAGAGCAAGUUUAAUUAUUGGAGGUUUCCUUAUUCACUCAAGCUUCAUACUGUAGAGAAGAAAGAGGGAUUACUAAGAAGUCCAAACUGUGCACAGAGGUUGAAAAGCUCAUCCCUGUUAAUUACGUGACCCUUCUCAAACAUACAAAACAUUUUUGGGGAAAAGUUGGGAUUUACUGAAUUUUGAACUGCCGACUAAGUGUGCCUCAUAGCUCAAAAUAUAUUGAAUAAAAAUCGUAUGGAGAUUUUUUUCCA